AUGUGGAGCUGUAAUAUAUUUAAAAAAAAAAAAGGCGGCCUCUCCCAUCUUUGCCAGCAUUUUGAGUUCGGAGUAGUCUCGCUCUCCAGAAAAACCUCUGGCCUCGGCUUCGAUCCCUCCAGCGAGCGCGAAGUCCUUCCUGAUCCGAAGGAUACUGGCGAUGGACCUGGCGAGUUUUUCCAGUGCGACUGGGAGGCUCAGGAAGCAAGAGGGACUUUCAAGAGGCUGAAUUCAGCUCCAGGACCCUCUUGGAAAACGGGAUACCCAGGCUUGUGGGCACAACGAAAGUGGUACCCGACCUGUGUGUCCCAGGGAGAGCCAGGAACCUGA
Molecule: long non-coding RNA, 330 nt
Filed under: Monodelphis domestica (gray short-tailed opossum)
Lineage: Eukaryota; Metazoa; Chordata; Mammalia; Didelphimorphia; Didelphidae
Description: lncRNA (ENSMODG00000045882.1)
Source: RNAcentral